GACGAACGCUGGCGGCGUGCUUAACACAUGCAAGUCGAACGGAAAGGCCCUGCUUUUGUGGGGUGCUCGAGUGGCGAACGGGUGAGUAACACGUGAGUAACCUGCCCUUGACUUUGGGAUAACUUCAGGAAACUGGGGCUAAUACCGGAUAGGAGCCCCUGCUGCAUGGUGGGGGUUGGAAAUUUUCGGCGGUUGGGGAUGGACUCGCGGCUUAUCAGCUUGUUGGUGGGGUAGUGGCUUACCAAGGCUUUGACGGGUAGCCGGCCUGAGAGGGUGACCGGCCACAUUGGGACUGAGAUACGGCCCAGACUCCUACGGGAGGCAGCAGUGGGGAAUAUUGCACAAUGGGCGGAAGCCUGAUGCAGCAAUGCCGCGUGCGGGAUGACGGCCUUCGGGUUGUAAACCGCUUUCGCCUGUGACGAAGCGUGAGUGACGGUAAUGGGUAAAGAAGCACCGGCUAACUACGUG
RNAcentral lists this ribosomal RNA (468 nucleotides) under uncultured bacterium. Its description in RNAcentral is "partial 16S ribosomal RNA". It matches the Rfam family "Bacterial small subunit ribosomal RNA", at positions 28 to 507 of the family's 1533-position model. The record is from RNAcentral.